UGCCUGACUUCAUUGUGGUCGAUUUUGC
Molecule: small RNA, 28 nt
Filed under: Bombyx mori (domestic silkworm)
Lineage: Eukaryota; Metazoa; Arthropoda; Insecta; Lepidoptera; Bombycidae
Description: ovarian small RNA-33850
Source: RNAcentral